This 521-nucleotide ribosomal RNA is filed under the name uncultured bacterium. RNAcentral describes it as "partial 16S ribosomal RNA". It matches the Rfam family "Bacterial small subunit ribosomal RNA", at positions 899 to 1397 of the family's 1533-position model. The record is from RNAcentral.
ACUCAAAUGAAUUGACGGGGACUUGCACAAGCAGUGGAUUAUGUGGUUUAAUUCGACGGUAAACGAAGAACCUUACCCGGGUUUGAAACCUAGUUGAAUGUUGCGGAAACGUAACAGUCUCACAAGGACAAUUAGGCAGGUGAUGCAUGGCCGUCGUCAGUUCGUGGUUUGAAUUGUUCCCUUAAGUGGGGUAACGAACGCAACCCUCGUUGCCAGUUACAAGUGUCUGGCGAGACUGCCCCAGAUUGUGCUCAUGAAAUAUGGAUUUCGUGAUCAGAAUCUGGGGAGGAAGGCGAGGAUGACGCCAGGUCAGCAUGUCCCUUUGAUAUCCGGGGCUACACACAUAAUACAAUCGCUGGGACAACGCGACGCGAAGAGGCAACUCAGAGCAAAUCGUAAGAAACCCAGCGCCAGUUCGGAUUGAAGUCUGCAACUCGACUUCAUGAAGCCGGAAUUGCUAGUAAUCGCAGGUCAGCUAUACUGCGGUGAAUACGUUCUCAAGUCUUGUACACACCGCCCGU